Molecule: long non-coding RNA, 593 nt
Filed under: Drosophila guanche
Lineage: Eukaryota; Metazoa; Arthropoda; Insecta; Diptera; Drosophilidae
Source: RNAcentral
CACACACACACACACACACAUCAAGGGGACAUGCUACCAUUUUCUUUCCUUUCUGUGGGGUUUCUUUUUAUUUUUUUCAAACGUUAAACGUUUCAAUAAAGUCGAGCACCUGUCAAUAAAUCGAAAUUGCCCUCUCGUAUUAUUUUUAUCGGCUACGUUUUCUGGUUUACAUUGCACGAUGGUGGCACACUCACACACACACACACACACACAAUCUGCUUCAAAUUUCACAGCACUGCCACAGGGUGCCACGCCCACACAGACACAGCGCUCCUGUACCUUGCCAUAUGUGUGUCUGUGUCUGUGUCUGUGUCUGUGUGUGCGACCUUCGUGGCGCUAUCUCUCAUUCGGCGUCGUCGUUCUGGGAAAGGUUCAUCCUUCGUCCUCGUCAGCGCCAUCAUCUUCUUACAGUUGAGCGAGUCCUGCGGGUGCCCCUGCAAAAUGGCUCCAACCUUCUGCUGCCUUUCUCCUACUCCUAUCUGCUGCUUGUUCUGGCCUCUGCGGUUUUCCACUCUUCAGCUCUGACUCUCUCUCUCUCUCUCUUUUUGGAAUUUGUUGUAGCCUCCCUCUCUCCGUCCAGAAUUUGUUGUAGC